GAUUGCACAAAUUUAAUCUUGUACUCUUUUCCUCUAAAUUCACAAAUAUUUGCUUCCAACAGAUGAUCCAAAUAUUUUCUCAACCAAUUUUUGGAGUCCCACCGAUCGAAAAGAGAAAAUUUAGGGAAGCCACUAGUGAGUUCCUAUCAUGAGUGUUCCAAGAGCUACAGCCACACAAAAAAUACAUCAUUUAACGAAAUGCAUGAAUGUUAGUAAAAAAGCACGGAUUAAAAGAUUAUGGAUCACUAUAUACUUGAUUACUAUAACAAGUCAUAAUAUAGCUCUGUUGUGGUGUAGGUGGGAGGGCAUCAAUAGUCUUAGAUUAGAGCA
This 330-nucleotide long non-coding RNA is filed under the name Elaeis guineensis (African oil palm). Its description in RNAcentral is "long non-coding RNA (EGUI_LNC022156)". The record is from RNAcentral. Lineage: Eukaryota; Viridiplantae; Streptophyta; Magnoliopsida; Arecales; Arecaceae.